RNAcentral lists this small RNA (828 nucleotides) under Histoplasma capsulatum. RNAcentral describes it as "hypothetical RNA". The record is from RNAcentral. RNAcentral also lists the same sequence under 1 other name. Lineage: Eukaryota; Fungi; Ascomycota; Eurotiomycetes; Onygenales; Ajellomycetaceae.
UUUAUUAUUGCUGUGUGGAUACUCAAAAAGUCACAUCCCCACCGUGCGAAGGCAGUGCUACAGGGGCGAGGAAACAGUCGAAACAUUCUUCCUUCGGCACAAGAGGUUUCUUAGUUUUCUCCACCUGCCAGCGCAGACCUGCAUAUAUUAUUUAUUAUUCAUCCCACCUCGUUGCGGUUUUUGAAGCGAAUCCUUUGCAUUCCAAAUUUAAUCCUUUGUUUAUUUUCAGCUAGAGGACUUGAAUUUGUGUUGUGUCAAUAAUGAUGCAAAGACUCUCCAAACUGCAAUUUAUUGCUGGACUAAAACCAUUGGUUUCCUGCCCGCUUUAUUGAGUUUAUUACGAGCAUCUAUUUGGACAUACUUUUACCCCAAGCAUCUUACACAGCGCAGAAAGAUGAAGGAAAGGCAAACCUCGAUGUGCUAUAUAAAAUCUCGCAUCAAGAUAAUUAAGAAAUAAGAAAUAAAAAAUUAAAAAUUAAAAGUCCGCAAAGAAAUAACCCGAUCCAUUAUCAAAAGUUUCAACACGAAAAUCGAGGCCCGUCUCCUAUUCCUCCCACGCAAUGUACUGAAAUCUCACUCCCACUGCGAUCCUUCUGAUUGGACGAUAUGAACAGUACCUGCAGCAACACAGUUUUCAAUUCAUGCAGCUUGGUAGCCCACAGCCCCCACAUGAAGCAAGGUUUUUCCAGCCAGACAGCAUUGCCGGCGGUUCGGAAGAACAUUCGUCACAGCAUCCCGGGAAGUAUUGCACUCUAGAGGCAAGGAAACCCCAUUAAAACUACAUACACUAGUCAUGUCUCAUACAUAUCCCACACAUCUUCAAAUGCA